This is a long non-coding RNA of Melospiza melodia melodia, 259 nucleotides long. RefSeq lists it as uncharacterized. NCBI's taxonomy places the organism in Eukaryota, Metazoa, Chordata, Aves, Passeriformes, Passerellidae. The record is from RefSeq and is a predicted model, not a curated record. The transcript has 3 exons.
GCAGCGGGGUGGCACCCGCCACCGCCAGCACCCCGCGGUGUCCCCCGCGCACCUGAACGCCGGGAUCUCCUUGGCGAACUUGAUCACCUGCUGGAUCAUGAACGUGCUCAGCGCAUGAACUGCGAGAAGCUGGAGUCGAAGUCCCCACCCCCUCUUUCCCAUUGGCUGCUCGCGGCUGUCAAUCAAACCCCGCCCCUAUAAAGGCGGCGGCGGCAGCGCCGGGACCGCACUGGGAGCGGCGGCGGCACCGGGCGGGAUG